CCUACGGGAGGCAGCAGUGGGGAAUAUUGGUCAAUGGGCGAAAGCCUGAACCAGCCACGUCGCGUGAGGGAGUACUGCCCUAUGGGUUGUAAACCUCUUUUGCCAGGGAAGAGUAGAAGACGGUACCUGACGAAUCAGCCACGGAUAACUACGUGGCAGCAGCCGCGGUAAUUCGGUGGGGGGAAGCGUUGUGCGGAUUUACUGGGUGUAAAGGGCGUGGAGGCGGGUUGAAAAGUCAGAUGGGAAAUCCUGCGGCUUAACCGGAAAUCUGCAUUUGAAACUGUUGAUCUUGAGUACUGGAGAGGCAGAUGGAAUUCCUAGUGUAGCGGUGAAAUGCGUAGAUAUUAGGAGGAACACCGAUUGCGAAGGCAGCUUACUAAACUGCCACUGACAUUGAUGCUCGAAAGUGUGGGUAUCAAACAGGAUUAGAUACCCUAGUAGUC
Molecule: ribosomal RNA, 443 nt
Filed under: uncultured bacterium
Lineage: Bacteria
Description: partial 16S ribosomal RNA
Rfam family: Bacterial small subunit ribosomal RNA
Source: RNAcentral